CCUACGGGUGGCAGCAGUGGGGAAUAUUGGACAAUGGGGGCAACCCUGAUCCAGCCAUGCCGCGUGUGUGAAGAAGGCCCUCGGGUUGUAAAGCACUUUCAGUGAGGAAGAACGCCUGGUGGUUAAUACCCAUCAGGAAAGACAUCACUCACAGAAGAAGCACCGGCUAACUCCGUGCCAGCAGCCGCGGUAAUACGGAGGGUGCGAGCGUUAAUCGGAAUUACUGGGCGUAAAGCGCGCGUAGGUGGCUUGAUAAGCCGGUUGUGAAAGCCCCGGGCUCAACCUGGGAACGGCAUCCGGAACUGUCAAGCUAGAGUGCAGGAGAGGAAGGUAGAAUUCCCGGUGUAGCGGAGAAAUGCGUGGAGAUCGGGAGGAAUACCAGUGGCGAAGGCGGCCUUCUGGACUGACACUGACACUGAGGUGCGAAAGCGUGGGUAGCAAACAGGAUUAGAUACCCCUGUAGUC
Molecule: ribosomal RNA, 465 nt
Filed under: Vreelandella stevensii
Lineage: Bacteria; Pseudomonadati; Pseudomonadota; Gammaproteobacteria; Oceanospirillales; Halomonadaceae
Description: partial 16S ribosomal RNA
Rfam family: Bacterial small subunit ribosomal RNA
Source: RNAcentral